UAGCCGUAAACGAUACUCGCUAGGUGUCGGCCACGGUGCGACCGUUGUCGGUGCCGUAGGGAAGCCGUGAAGCGAGCCACCUGGGAAGUACGGCCGCAAGGCUGAAACUUAAAGGAAUUGGCGGGGGAGCACCACAACGGGUGGAGCUUGCGGUUUAAUUGGAUUCAACGCCGGGAAGCUCACCGGAUAAGACAGCGGAAUGAUUGCCGGGCUGAAGACCCUGCAUGACCAGCUGAGAGGUGGUGCAUGG
RNAcentral lists this ribosomal RNA (250 nucleotides) under uncultured archaeon. RNAcentral's name for it is "partial 16S ribosomal RNA". It matches the Rfam family "Archaeal small subunit ribosomal RNA", at positions 748 to 997 of the family's 1478-position model. The record is from RNAcentral.